RNAcentral lists this unclassified non-coding RNA (156 nucleotides) under uncultured Pleosporales. Its description in RNAcentral is "sequence contains ITS2". The record is from RNAcentral. Lineage: Eukaryota; Fungi; Ascomycota; Dothideomycetes; Pleosporales.
AAAAACCCUCAAGCUCUGCUUGGUGUUGGGCGCCUUGUCCCGCCUCCGGUGCGGACUCGCCUUAAAAGCAUUGGCGGCCUGUGUAUUGGCUUCGAGCGCAGCAGAAACGCGCCUCGCAACCCUCUGGCACGGGCAUCCAUCAAGAUGCACCCCAAA